RNAcentral lists this non-coding RNA (150 nucleotides) under Paenibacillus antibioticophila. RNAcentral's name for it is "FMN riboswitch (RFN element)". It matches the Rfam family "FMN riboswitch aptamer (RFN element)". Rfam says of the family: The RFN element is a highly conserved domain that is found frequently in the 5'-untranslated regions of prokaryotic mRNAs that encode for flavin mononucleotide (FMN) biosynthesis and transport proteins. Lineage: Bacteria; Bacillati; Bacillota; Bacilli; Caryophanales; Paenibacillaceae. The record is from RNAcentral.
AUCUUCGGGGUAAGGUGAAAUUCCUGACCGGCGGUGAUUGUUAUCUGCGGAUAACACGAGCCCGCGACUCUCCAGUCUAUCUAACGAUGAGAUUGGUGACUGAUCUGGUGAAAUUCCAGAGCCGACGGUAAAGUCCGGAUGGGAGAAGAU